CGGGCUGUGGCGCAGCUUGGUAGCGCGCUUGAAUGGGGUUCAAGAGGUCCGCGGUUCAAGUCCGCGCAGCCCGACCA
RNAcentral lists this transfer RNA (77 nucleotides) under Candidatus Fermentithermobacillaceae bacterium. Its description in RNAcentral is "tRNA-Pro". It matches the Rfam family "tRNA". Rfam says of the family: Transfer RNA (tRNA) molecules are approximately 80 nucleotides in length. The record is from RNAcentral. Lineage: Bacteria; Bacillati; Bacillota; Candidatus Fermentithermobacillia; Candidatus Fermentithermobacillales; Candidatus Fermentithermobacillaceae.